RNAcentral lists this unclassified non-coding RNA (231 nucleotides) under Hevea brasiliensis (rubber tree). Lineage: Eukaryota; Viridiplantae; Streptophyta; Magnoliopsida; Malpighiales; Euphorbiaceae. The record is from RNAcentral.
AUUUAAACCCUUUGAUCAGCUAAUGGGAACCCUACCUGCUGCAAGUUCUAAUGCGUUGCCUGAAGAAUACAGGAAAUUGAUGACUGACCCAUCAUCACCAAUAACAUAACUUCUUUCCCUCAGAUUUUGAGAUUGACAUGAAUGGUAAACGCUUUGCCUGGCAGGGUAUUGCCAAAUUGCCAUUCAUUGAUGAGAGGAAAUUGCUUGCCCAAACAAAGAAACUUGAAAGCA